Molecule: ribosomal RNA, 458 nt
Filed under: Macrolabis aquilegiae
Lineage: Eukaryota; Metazoa; Arthropoda; Insecta; Diptera; Cecidomyiidae
Description: partial large subunit ribosomal RNA
Rfam family: Eukaryotic large subunit ribosomal RNA
Source: RNAcentral
CGAAACCGAUAGCGAACAAGUACCGUGAGGGAAAGUUGAAAAGUACUCUGAAUAGAGAGUUAAAUAGUACGUGAAACCGCUUAGGGGUUAAGCCCGAUGAACCCGAAUAUCUGAUGUGAGAAAUUCAAUACGAUUCAAAUUCAUUUUUUAUAUUGGAUUUGUAUAGUAUGCACUUUUCUCAUAGUAAGACAUUGUAAUCCAUUGAUAUUAUAUCUCAUAUGAGAUGAUUUAACAUACGGACAAAAUGUUUAUGAUUAUUCUAUCAGUGAUAUGUUUACAUGUCAUAUGAAUAAAAUCGUUUUGUUUCCUGUUUAAAUAGUCGAUGGAUUUUUCAUUGAAAUCAUGCCUGCAAUUUAUUUUGCGUUUCGUAUUAUUAAUUUUUAAUUGGUGAUAGCAGAAAUGGCAUGUAUUCGAUUAACAAUGCGAUAGAUUUGGGAUACUUUCAGGACCCGUCUUGA